GGGCGGUUAGCUCAGUGGUAGAGCACUGCCUUCACACGGCAGGGGUCGCAGGUUCGAACCCUGCACCGCCCACCA
RNAcentral lists this transfer RNA (75 nucleotides) under Thiobacillus sp. RNAcentral's name for it is "tRNA-Val". It matches the Rfam family "tRNA". From Rfam's summary of the family: Transfer RNA (tRNA) molecules are approximately 80 nucleotides in length. Their secondary structure includes four short double-helical elements and three loops (D, anti-codon, and T loops). RNAcentral also lists the same sequence under 101 other names. The record is from RNAcentral. Lineage: Bacteria; Pseudomonadati; Pseudomonadota; Betaproteobacteria; Nitrosomonadales; Thiobacillaceae.